AUUGAACGCUGGCGGCAUGCUUUACACAUGCAAGUCGAACGGUAACAGGCCGCAAGGUGCUGACGAGUGGCGAACGGGUGAGUAAUGCAUCGGAACGUGCCCAGUCGUGGGGGAUAACUACUCGAAAGAGUAGCUAAUACCGCAUACGAUCUAUGGAUGAAAGCGGGGGACCGUAAGGCCUCGCGCGAUUGGAGCGGCCGAUGUCAGAUUAGGUAGUUGGUAGGGUAAAGGCUCACCAAGCCAACGAUCUGUAGCUGGUCUGAGAGGACGACCAGCCACACUGGGACUGAGACACGGCCCAGACUCCUACGGGAGGCAGCAGUGGGGAAUUUUGGACAAUGGGCGCAAGCCUGAUCCAGCAAUGCCGCGUGCAGGAAGAAGGCCUUCGGGUUGUAAACUGCUUUUGUACGGAACGAAACGGCUCUGGUUAAUACCCGGGGCUAAUGACGGUACCGUAAGAAUAAGCACCGGCUAACUACGUG
RNAcentral lists this ribosomal RNA (482 nucleotides) under uncultured bacterium. RNAcentral describes it as "partial 16S ribosomal RNA". It matches the Rfam family "Bacterial small subunit ribosomal RNA", at positions 30 to 507 of the family's 1533-position model. The record is from RNAcentral.